GAUGAAGAACGUAGCGAAAUGCGAUAAGUAAUGUGAAUUGCAGAAUUCAGUGAAUCAUCGAAUCUUUGAACGCACAUUGCGCCCCCUGGUAUUCCGGGGAGCAUGCCUGUUCGAGCGUCAUUUCACCACUCAAGCCUCGCUUGGUAUUGGGCAACGCGGUCCGCCGCGUGCCUCAAAUCGACCGGCUGGGUCUUCUGUCCCCUAAGCGUUGUGGAAACUAUUCGCUAAAGGGUGUUCGGGAGGCUACGCCGUAAAACAACCCCAUUUCUAAGGUUGACCUCGGAUCAGGUAGGGAUACCCGCUGAACUUAAGCAUAUCAAUAAGCGGAGGA
RNAcentral lists this unclassified non-coding RNA (331 nucleotides) under soil metagenome. Its description in RNAcentral is "partial contains 5.8S ribosomal RNA, internal transcribed spacer 2, and large subunit ribosomal RNA". The stretch from base 1 to 120 matches the Rfam family "5.8S ribosomal RNA", at positions 35 to 154 of the family's 154-position model. The record is from RNAcentral.